RNAcentral lists this ribosomal RNA (464 nucleotides) under uncultured bacterium. Its description in RNAcentral is "partial 16S ribosomal RNA". It matches the Rfam family "Bacterial small subunit ribosomal RNA", at positions 339 to 795 of the family's 1533-position model. The record is from RNAcentral.
CUACGGGGUGCUCCAGUGGGGAAUAUUGCACAAUGGGCGCAAGCCUGAUGCAGCCAUGCCGCGUGUAUGAAGAAGGCCUUCGGGUUGUAAAGUACUUUCAGUAAGGAGGAAGGCAGUUACGUUAAUAGCGUAAUUGUUUGACGUUACUUACAGAAGAAGCACCGGCUAACUCCGUGCCAGCAGCCGCGGUAAUACGGGGGGUGCGAGCGUUAAUCGGAAUUACUGGGCGUAAAGCGCAUGCAGGUGGUCUGUUAAGUCAGAUGUGAAAGCCCCGGGCUCAACCCGGGAUGGUCAUUUGAAACUGGCAGGCUAGAGUACUGUAGAGGGGGGUAGAAUUUCAGGUGUAGCGGUGAAAUGCGUAGAGAUCUGAAGGAAUACCGGUGGCGAAGGCGGCCCCCUGGACAGAUACUGACACUCAGAUGCGAAAGCGUGGGGAGCAAACAGGAUUAGAUACCCUAGUAGUC